UCGGGAAUUUUGGGCAAUGGGCGAAAGCCUGACCCAGCAACGCCGCGUGAAGGAUGAAGUAUUUCGGUAUGUAAACUUCGAAAGAAUAGGAAGAAUAAAUGACGGUACUAUUUAUAAGGUCCGGCUAACUACGUGCCAGCAGCCGCGGUAAUACGUAGGGACCAAGCGUUGUUCGGAUUUACUGGGCGUAAAGGGCGCGUAGGCGGCUUGACAAGUCACUUGUGAAAUCUCUGGGCUUAACCCAGAACGGCCAAGUGAAACUGUCAUGCUAGAGUGCAGAAGGGGCAAUCGGAAUUCUUGGUGUAGCGGUGAAAUGCGUAGAUAUCAAGAGGAACACCUGAGGUGAAGACGGGUUGCUGGGCUGACACUGACGCUGAGGCGCGAAAGCCAGGGGAGCAAACGGGAUUAGAUACCCUGGUAGUCCCUGAGCGGGCUGGCAAGGCGCAU
RNAcentral lists this ribosomal RNA (447 nucleotides) under uncultured bacterium. Its description in RNAcentral is "bacterial SSU rRNA". It matches the Rfam family "Bacterial small subunit ribosomal RNA", at positions 355 to 825 of the family's 1533-position model. The record is from RNAcentral.